RNAcentral lists this ribosomal RNA (479 nucleotides) under uncultured soil bacterium. RNAcentral's name for it is "bacterial SSU rRNA". It matches the Rfam family "Bacterial small subunit ribosomal RNA", at positions 27 to 518 of the family's 1533-position model. The record is from RNAcentral.
GGGACGAACGCUGGCGGCGUGCUUAACACAUGCAAGUCGAGCGGUAAGGCCUUUCGGGGUACACGAGCGGCGAACGGGUGAGUAACACGUGGGUGAUCUGCCCUGCACUCUGGGAUAAGCCUGGGAAACUGGGUCUAAUACCGGAUAUGACCUGCUCUCGCAUGGGGGUGGGUGGAAAGAUUUAUCGGUGCAGGAUGGGCCCGCGGCCUAUCAGCUUGUUGGUGGGGUAAUGGCCUACCAAGGCGACGACGGGUAGCCGACCUGAGAGGGUGACCGGGCCAACGACUGGGACUGAGACACGGCCCAGACUCCUACGGGAGGCAGCAGUGGGGAAUAUGCACAAUGGGCGAAAGCCUGAUGCAGCGACGCCGCGUGAGGAUGAAGGCCUUCGGGGUUGUAAACCUCUUUCAGCGAGGACGAAGCGCAAGUGACGGUACCUGACAGAAGAAGCACCGGCUAACUACGUGCCCAGCAGCCGC